Sus scrofa (pig) is the source of this 1158-nucleotide long non-coding RNA. RefSeq lists it as uncharacterized. The record is from RefSeq and is a predicted model, not a curated record. Lineage: Eukaryota; Metazoa; Chordata; Mammalia; Artiodactyla; Suidae.
GCCAAAGAAGAAACAAAAACACGUCAGGCAACCACCUCCGCCUCGGAAUACCACUUGUGAAGACUUUGCAAUGAAGACGGGGGGGAAAAAAAGGGGUUUCAUAAAGGCUUUGAAAACAUAAAUCCUAUAACGCGGAUCCCACGUAAGGGCCUUGGGAGAAGGGGUGCCCGCGCCCGAAGCCCGAGCUCAAGCCACCGCCAGACUCGUGGGCGCGGCGGGGUAGAACUCGCGGCGAGUCCGGGUUCCCCUUACAACCUCCGAGGAGCGGCGCUGCCAUGCAGGGGAGAUGGUGGGCGCGGCGUUCCACCCACUUGGCGGUGUACUCGGGUAGACUGCUGGUUAACCUGACCCUGGGUUCCGGGCCUCUAGAGGCGCCCUUGGACGGAGAUCCCCCAUUCCCUGCGGCCUCACCCCUCCCCCUCCCUAACCCGGGAGCCCUCCUAGCCGGUACAGGCUUCCCAAGCCCCUUCCCAAGCCCCUUCCCAAGCGCGUGCCCGGGAGGAGGCCAGCAAACCCUGAAAGGACUUCUGAAACUAUGGUGAAAAUGGACAUCCUUUCUUGUUCCUGAUCUUAGUGGAAAUGCUUUCAACCUUUCACCAUUGAGAAUGAUAUUAGCUGUGGGUUUACCAUAUAUGGCUGACAUUAUGUUGAGAGCUGUGACUGCUGCAUACAGAAGUUCCAGGCAGGCCAGAAUCAAACCUGAUCCAUAGCAGUGACAAUGCUGCAUGCUUAACCACAAGACUACCAGAAACACUGGAAGAUCAUUCCAAGUUAUGAUAUACUCAAAAGCCAUAAACAAGAAGUAAAAACUUCAAAUAUAAUCUUUGAAAAAAAUUCAGAUCAAUAAAAAAGCUGUAAACAAGACCAUGGAACAAAUGACAUAUCACUAAAAUUGAUCAAUAGAAAAAGAAACACAAAAGAUUGAAAACAAAUGUACAAGCCUUUCUUCUUUGCUAAUAAUUUAAAUAUUGCAAUUUAAUCUAUAAGGGCAUAUUUUUCACCAAAAUAUAGGCAAAGAUUGUAACAUGCUGAUUUGAUAAAGGAUGUAGGAUUGGGGCAAUGACCAUGAUUGUACACGUCCGUAAUGUACACGUCCUCUAUGAAAGCAAAUUUGGCAGUGCUUAUGAAAAUGUAAUAAAAACUGACCUUUUGACUGUU